GCGUAGGUGGUCUGUUAAGUCCGAUGUGAAAUCCCUGGGCUCAACCUGGGAACUGCAUUCGGAUACUGGCGCGACUAGAGUCGUGGUAAAGGGUAGCGGAAUUUCCUGGUGUACCAGUGAAAUGCGUAGAGAUCUGGAGGAACAUCCGUGGCGAAGGCGGCUCCCUGGACCAACACUGACACUGAGGCGCGAAAGCGUGGGGAGCAAACAGGAUUAGAUACCCUGGUAGUCCACGCCCUAAACGAUGCCAACUGGAUGGUGGGUGCCUUUUGGCACGCAUUAUCGAACCUAACGCGUUAAUUUCCCCCCCGGGGGAGUCCGGCCGCAAGACUGAAAUUCAAUGGAAUUGAC
RNAcentral lists this ribosomal RNA (351 nucleotides) under Stenotrophomonas maltophilia. RNAcentral's name for it is "bacterial SSU rRNA". It matches the Rfam family "Bacterial small subunit ribosomal RNA", at positions 569 to 914 of the family's 1533-position model. The record is from RNAcentral. Lineage: Bacteria; Pseudomonadati; Pseudomonadota; Gammaproteobacteria; Lysobacterales; Lysobacteraceae.